AUUGAACGCUGGCGGCAUGCUUUACACAUGCAAGUCGAACGGCAGCGCGGGGCAACCUGGCGGCGAGUGGCGAACGGGUGAGUAUUACAUCGGAACGUACCCAGAAGUGGGGGAUAACGUAGCGAAAGUUACGCUAAUACCGCAUACGUUCUACGGAAGAAAGUGGGGGACCUUCGGGCCUCAUGCUUUUGGAGCGGCCGAUGUCUGAUUAGCUAGUUGGUGAGGUAAAGGCUCACCAAGGCGACGAUCAGUAGCUGGUCUGAGAGGACGACCAGCCACACUGGGACUGAGACACGGCCCAGACUCCUACGGGAGGCAGCAGUGGGGAAUUUUGGACAAUGGGCGCAAGCCUGAUCCAGCAAUGCCGCGUGAGUGAAGAAGGCCUUCGGGUUGUAAAGCUCUUUUGUCAGGGAAGAAACGGCUGAGGAUAAUACCUUCGGCUAAUGACGGUACCUGAAGAAUAAGCACCGGCUAACUACGUG
Molecule: ribosomal RNA, 482 nt
Filed under: uncultured bacterium
Lineage: Bacteria
Description: partial 16S ribosomal RNA
Rfam family: Bacterial small subunit ribosomal RNA
Source: RNAcentral